Molecule: ribosomal RNA, 1339 nt
Filed under: uncultured Anaerococcus sp.
Lineage: Bacteria; Bacillati; Bacillota; Tissierellia; Tissierellales; Peptoniphilaceae
Description: bacterial SSU rRNA
Rfam family: Bacterial small subunit ribosomal RNA
Source: RNAcentral
CGGAUACGCUGGCGGCGUGCAUACACAUGCAGUCGAACGAUGAAACUUUAAUGAACCCUUCGGGGAGAAUUAAAGCGGAUUAGUGGCGAACGGGUGAGUAACGCGUGAGUAACCUGCCUUACACAAGGGGAUAGCCUUUGGAAACGAAGAAUAAUACCCUAUAAAACCAUAAAAGCACAUGCAAUUAUGGUCAAAGUGAUAGCGGUGUAAGAUGGACUUGCGUCUGAUUAGCUAGUUGGUGAGAUAAAAGCCCACCAAAGGCAAACGAUCAGGUAAGCCCGGGCUUGGAAGAAGAAGUUGGUUACCGGGCCAACCAAUUGGGGACUGAGAACACGGCCCAGAACUCCUACGGGAGGCAGCAGUGGGGAAUUUUGCACAAUGGGGGAAACCCUGAUGCAGCGACGCCGCGUGAUUUAGAAGGCCUUCGGGUUGUAAAAAUCUUUUGUAUAGGAAGAAAAUGACAGUACUAUACGAAUAAGGUCCGGCUAAUUACGUGCCAGCAGCCGCGGUAAUACGUAAGGACCGAGCGUUGUCCGGAAUCAUUGGGCGUAAAGGGUACGUAGGCGGCUAGAAAAGUUAGAAGUCAAAGGCUAUAGCUCAACUAUAGUAAGCUUCUAAAACUAUUUAGCUUGAGAGAUGGAAGGGAAAGUGGAAUUCCUAGUGUAGCGGUGGAAUGCGCAGAUAUUAGGAGGAAUACCGGUGGCGAAGGCGACUUUCUGGCCAUUUUCUGACGCUGAGGUACGAAAGCGUGGGUAGCAAACAGGAUUAGAUACCCUGGUAGUCCACGCCGUAAACGAUGAGUGUUAGGUGUCUGGAGUCAAAUCUGGGUGCCGCAGCAAACGCAUUAAACACUCCGCCUGGGGAGUACGCACGCAAGUGUGAAACUCAAAGGAAUUGACGGGGACCCGCACAAGCAGCGGAGCAUGUGGUUUAAUUCGACGCAACGCGAAGAACCUUACCAAGUCUUGACAUAUUUUAGAAGCAAUUAGAGAUAAUUGCCUAUAUCUUCGGAUAACUAAAAUACAGGUGGUGCAUGGUUGUCGUCAGCUCGUGUCGUGAGAUGUUGGGUUAAAUCCCAUAAACGAGCGGCAACCCCUAUUGCUAGUUACCAUCAUUAAGUUGGGGACUCUAGUAAUACUGCCGGUGACAAACCGGAGGAAGGUGGGGAUGACGUCAAAUCAUCAUGCCCUUUAUGACUUGGGCUACACACGUGCUACAAUGGCAGGUACACAGGGAAGCAAGACUGUGAAGUUAAGCAAACUCAAAAAGCCUGUCCCAGUUCGGAUUGCACUCUGCAACUCGAGUGCAUGAAGUUGGAGUGCUAUAUCGCAGUCAGAUC